Molecule: long non-coding RNA, 364 nt
Organism: Hirundo rustica (Barn swallow)
Lineage: Eukaryota; Metazoa; Chordata; Aves; Passeriformes; Hirundinidae
Exons: 3
Source: RefSeq, a predicted model, not a curated record
GGUAAAUGCUGCUUUGCCUUCUAUGUGUAUAGCAAGCAACAAGUGAAUACAGCUUACAAGGUGUGAAAUUCCUGGGUGGUACUGUGCCCACCAUGAGAAGAAGUCAAACUCUGCUGGAAAAGAUAUAUAGGUCCCAGGAACACUCCUGUCUCCAUGAGUUGUGCUCAUCCCAGGUGUGAGUUCAUGAAGGCUGGCUAAUGAUGGUAUGGGUCAGCACAAUGAUGACCUCCACAAAGGCAUGGUGAUGUAACUUCAAAGUCCAGAGCACAAGGGACCUGUGUGUGCUCCAGUGGUGCUGUGAUGCAUGUGCCACAUCCUGCCCUGUUUCAAGAGCAAGUGGGAAGGAUCCUGCUCUUAUUCCCAG